RNAcentral lists this ribosomal RNA (373 nucleotides) under uncultured eukaryote. RNAcentral's name for it is "partial 18S ribosomal RNA". It matches the Rfam family "Eukaryotic small subunit ribosomal RNA", at positions 592 to 976 of the family's 1831-position model. The record is from RNAcentral.
CAAUAGCGUAUAUUAAAGUUGUUGCAGUUAAAAAGCUCGUAGUUGAAUUUUUGCUUGCCGCCGAUGUCGGAACUUCCGUACGUUCGGCGGCGUGCAUCCUUGGGUGGAACCUGUGUGGCAUUAGGUUGUCGUGCAGGGGAUGCUCAUCGUUUACUGUGAAAAAAUUAGAGUGUUCAAAGCAGGCUUACGCCGUUGAAUAUAUUAGCAUGGAAUAAUAAGAUAGGACCUUGGUACUAUUUUGUUGGUUUGCGCACCGAGGUAAUGAUUAACAGGGACAGUUGGGGGUAUUCGUAUUUAAUUGUCAGAGGUGAAAUUCUUGGAUUUAUGAAAGACGAACGACUGCGAAAGCAUUUACCAAGGAUGUUUUCAUUAA